UGCCAUGACUUUUGGGGACACCAAAUAGACUUGCAAUCAUUCCCUGGAGGCUUAACCGCCACCUAACCAUAACAAUGAACAUUGCUUGCCUAAUCUAAACACACACAUGCACAUCAUAAUUCUGUUAUAUAAAGUUCAGUGUGUACAUGUAGAAGAAGAAACUAUAACAAAUUUAAAUCCCUCAAUUUAGUGUCUCUCUUCAUCCGAGUGGGACUUUGAAGAAAAACUGUCUCAACAUUUUUAUCCUGAAUUACAGAAUUAACAAGCAGUUUGAAUUAUAUUUCCAUCACAUGUGGUCUGCUAUGCAUUAAUUAUUGAUCUCCUGUUUCUAUGCUAGCAAGACAUAAUUACCUUCUGUAAUGUGAACCCUUAAUCAAAUUUAAACAUUUAUAUUGCUUAUCUUUCUGCCUAACCCCUUUGGCUAAAUCUUCCUAAUUACACCAAUCAAAUUGGGAUGGAGAGUAAUUCUUCUCCUUGCUUCAGUUAGAAAGCAGGGAUGACAUACAUAUUUCACUUGAUGCCAAAGUACCUCACUUCCAACAUGUUAAAUAAUGGCUGAUGUCCCUCCUUUGUUUUGUCUGAAAGUGUACUGCAAGUUGAGAAAUCCUUUGCUCAAUAAUUGUAUUAAAAGGGAUAAUUACAUGAAUAUAUAUUUAUCUGCGAAAGAAAUUUGAAACAGCCACUCACUAACCUUCAACCUCCAUCGAAAUAUGCAACAGUCUUAUGUCAAAGUACACAUGAUGAUACAUCUCGUCAUUCUUUAGGUCAUGUCUUUUUGCUUUUCUUUCAUUCAUGUUUCAUGCUUCCUGUUUUCUUGUAAAACUUACCUCUCCUCUCGUUUCAGACCACUUUGCUUCCUGCCCCUGUAUUUUCCCUGCAGUUCUGAUUGUCUGCCCUGCCCUCAUUAGAUUCACCUGUGUCACAUUAUCGUUCCCCUCUCUUGUGUAUUUAGUGUGUGCUUCUCCUCAUGAGCAGGAUCUCUCUGCAGUCUGCAAGGGAUUGAGGGAACUCACCCAGGUUCAGGAAGAGGUCCAGAGCUCCACUGGUAAUCAAGUGAACCGGCUGAGUAAUCAGUUCCAACACCUGGUGAGUCGUCUGGAUUCUCUGAUGUCCCCCUGUCACCACUCCCCAACCAGCUCUUACUUCAGCUUUGGCCUCUGCUCUUGCCCCUGCUCGCCACUCCGCCAAGCCAGAGUGUUUUUCCAGAGAUUCUGGGAAUUGUCAGGCUCACCAUGGCUGCAUUGUACCGUUCCUUAUUUCCUGACCUGAAGGCAGUGUUGCGGUCCUGGCAGUGCGACGUCAGGAGAGGGGAGGUCAUGGAUUCCUGCUGGCAACAUUGUGAACCCUGACCUCAAUCGAGGCUUUCAAUAUCACCAUCCAGAUCUGCCUGGGACAUCAGGUGCCGUCCCUAGAGGGGGGGUACUGAUACAUCUCGUCAUUCCUAAGAUCAUGUCUUUUUGUUUUUCUUUCAUUCAUGUUUCAUGCUCCCUGUUUUAUUGUGAAACUUACCUCUCCUCUCGUUCCCGCUUCACUUCCUGCCCCUGUGUUUUCCCUCCAGUUCUGAUUGUCUGCCCUGCCCUCAUUAGAUUUACCUGUGUCUCAUUAUCGUUCCCCUGUGUUGUGUAUUUAGUGUGUGCUUCACCUCCUCUCUGUGCCAGUUCGUCUUUGUACCUCAAAGUCAAACGUUCCAGCAGUCUUCAUUAUCUGUUUUCCUGGUUUUUUGGAUUAGUUGCCUGUUUGUUGCUUCUGCCUUUGCCUUGCCCUUCGGAUUUGUUUGCCGUGUGGACUGUCUAUCGUGAACUGAAGCCCUUUGCAAGUAAACUGUGUUUGUUAGAAACUCAAA
Molecule: long non-coding RNA, 1843 nt
Organism: Scatophagus argus
Lineage: Eukaryota; Metazoa; Chordata; Actinopteri; Scatophagidae
Exons: 2
Source: RefSeq, a predicted model, not a curated record